GAGAUAUUAGUAAAAUUAUUACAUAACUUUGUCAAAGUUAAGUCAUAGGUCAAACCUAUAUAUCUUU
This 67-nucleotide transfer RNA is filed under the name Hylomyscus arcimontensis (Arc Mountain wood mouse). RNAcentral describes it as "tRNA-Asp". Lineage: Eukaryota; Metazoa; Chordata; Mammalia; Rodentia; Muridae. The record is from RNAcentral.